RNAcentral lists this ribosomal RNA (100 nucleotides) under uncultured bacterium. RNAcentral's name for it is "partial 16S ribosomal RNA". It matches the Rfam family "Bacterial small subunit ribosomal RNA", at positions 392 to 508 of the family's 1533-position model. The record is from RNAcentral.
UGACGCCGCGUGUGGGAUGACGCCUUUCGGGGUGUAAACCACUUUUCUUGGGGACGAGAACGGACGGUACCCAAGGAAUAAGCCUCGGCUAACUACGUGC